Molecule: long non-coding RNA, 598 nt
Filed under: Homo sapiens (human)
Lineage: Eukaryota; Metazoa; Chordata; Mammalia; Primates; Hominidae
Description: HSALNT0032498
Source: RNAcentral
UAAAAUCUUCCUCUGCCUCUCUUUUAGAAGGACCCUUGUGAUUACAUUUAAGAUCCAUCUGAAUAAUCCGGGAUAAUCUCCCCACUCAAGGGCUUUCAGUCACACCAGCAAAGUCCGUUUUGCCAUGUAGGGUAAUAUUCACAGGUUCCAGGGGUUAGGACCUGGCUGUCUUUGGGGGCCAUCAUUCAGCCCACCCAGUCAGUAACCUGUGAAAUGCACGUGGCCCCAUCAGCUCAUGGUUCGGGGUUGGCUGGUCUUGAGGAAGACAUCAGGCUGAAGGAAGUCUUCUGGAGACUCAGCUGGCAGAGAGGAGAAGCAGCGGGACAUCAGGACUAUGGCUGGACGUCAGAGAGAAGCAGCUUAACUUCAGAGGUGCAGCUUGAUGGUGUAACUUAGGAGAAGAAUCUGACUGGAGACGGCCAGACUUCAGAAGAAGAUGACCUACCCCCCCAUCCCCUUUUCAGCUUCCCUUCCCGCUGAGAGCCACUUUUAUUGGCAAUAAAAUCCUCCACAUUUACCACCUUUCAAUGUGUUCAUGUGACUUCAUUAUUCCUGGACACCGGACAAGAGCUCAGGGGCCACAGGUGUGGAUAUGAAA